UUGAAGGAAGGAAUAUGGUAGUGUCUUUGUAUGGCUGUACAGGGGAGACAUGAGAAUAUUCUCUAGAAGUCAGGAAGCAAGUGACACAAUUGAUGAACUAGUGGAUUUACAGACGGAACACUCUACUUAGUUAGAGGCGAACAGAAUAAUGGGAUUCAAAAUGGCUAAGCUACUGAUAGCAGGCAAGGGACAGGCAGGAGCAGAAGACUGCACGCAUAUACGGGAGGGUGAACUAACCACUCUUAUCUAGCAAUGGAGAAGGGAGUCCUGCAGCUCCUCUGAUGUCUUCAGCAUUGCCACUACAUGCAAAAAGGAAAAACAGCUGUUCCCUUUGGUAGUAGUCUGCACUGCAAGCAUUGAACCUGUGUUCUUAGGCCUGGGCCUACUCUGUGUGUGUGAGGAAGGAAGACCUGACCUCUGCCUUGCUCUGCAGCUCAACAUCUGUCAAAGCAUCAGCAGGACAGAACAUGUGCCGACAGCAAAAUGGACCACCUGCCAGCACUUUUUCAAUAACAUUUUUUUCCUUUUUAAAUAUAGAUUGUGAGUUUAGCAUUGUUUCAAGGUCUAAGCGCAUCACAUUGUAAAAUAAACUAUUUAAAACGGUAAAAGCUUUUAGGCCUCUGAAAUCUUGAAUAACGAUUUGAAGCAUAGAUAGAAUACUCUGCUACAUACAUUUUCUAGCCUCUAACAGUUUAUAGUGGACAGAGAUCAUAUGAAGUAGAAUGGCUGUAGUUGGAUGUAUACAUUUAUUUAUUUAUCCAACAAGAUAAGUAUCUACAGCAGUUUACAUAACAUUUUUAUAGUUUAUUAGAUCAUAUUUGGUUACCCCACAAAUGAGAGGAUGAGGAUGAUUAAGAUGAUAUAACAACACUCACAAAAGAAACCAAUGAUCUUAUUACUGCAAAUGCAAAAAGACCCCUCUUUUUUUCUCUUUCUUUUCUGGACUUAUCUUAAUCCUCUGCCACUAUCUGUGGGAGUAAAACGAGGCUCAUUCUCAGGCUCACUAACCUUCUCCAUGUACUCAUUUCCCUUGAAAAACUUGAUCAUCAGUAUUCAAAUACCAUCUCUAUGCUGAUGAUUUCCCCUCCGAACCUACACUUUCCACAACUAAAGUCUCACUUGUAGCCUAAGAAUUAAUAGCCGCUUCCAUCCAGGUCCGCUUUUUCGUCAUUACAAUUGUCUACACAGUCAUUUAAUCUCCCCAUAUCCAAGAACUCGCCAUAUUCUAGAGCUCUCACCCUUUUAUUAAAGAAGUUGUUUGUAGACGGAUCAAUCUAAAUCAGUAAUCAACCUUAGCUAAACUUCUCAGUCAGUUCCUACGCUUGAUCCCCAUACCAUUCAGUAUCAAUUUACAAUAUGAAGUAUUAUUUGCACAAAAGUCAUAUUGGCAGAAAUAUGCAUAUUCCGAUUAGCAGUGUUAUCAAAGCCUGUUUUCUGUUAAGAUUUUAUAACUUGAACAGAAUUUAUUUCAGUAAAAUCAUAGCAAAUCACAUUUUUUGUAUAAAAUUGUAUGUUUUUUCUUUUUCUUCAUUAUAUUUAACAAGAUGGGUCGAUUUAUCAAUGCCCCUGUUUCCGCGCGAGCCUGAAGUCUCGCCGGAAACAGCAGUUAUGAAGCAGCGGUCUUAAGAUCGCUGCUCCUUAACUGGUCCGCCUGCUCUGAGCUGCGGACAGCUAUCAACCCGAUCAGAUAUGAUCAGGUUAAUUGACAGCCCCUGUGCCGCGAAUCUGCAGGGGGGCGGCAUUGCACAAACAGUUCACCAGAACUGCUUGAGCAAUGUUAAAUGCUGACAGCGUAUGCUGUCGGCAUUCAGUGAUGUCUGGCGGACAUGAUACUCACAGCAUAUUAUGUCGGACAGACAUUGUUAAAUCAGCCCCCAUAUGUUCUUUUUUUUUCCCUUUUUUUAUCGUCAUAACAUUUUGACAAAUGUAAUACUAUACGCAUGAGCACAUUCCUUGUCCAGAGAUAAUGGAUAAUAUGACCUUAUACUGUGUUGGUAUUUUGAUUUUUGUAAUCUGUUAUAUUUUAUGUUUCUGUAUUAUUUUCCACACUCCAUGCUGGAAGUAUUGUAUGCAAAGUAUUAAUGUGUCUUCUGUUUGAAAUAAAAAGUCUAAAAAGACUGUUUCAAGUG
Molecule: long non-coding RNA, 2129 nt
Organism: Bombina bombina (fire-bellied toad)
Lineage: Eukaryota; Metazoa; Chordata; Amphibia; Anura; Bombinatoridae
Exons: 2
Source: RefSeq, a predicted model, not a curated record